RNAcentral lists this ribosomal RNA (465 nucleotides) under uncultured bacterium. RNAcentral's name for it is "partial 16S ribosomal RNA". It matches the Rfam family "Bacterial small subunit ribosomal RNA", at positions 39 to 523 of the family's 1533-position model. The record is from RNAcentral.
GCGGCGUGCUUCAUACAUGCAAGUCGAACGAGAAGCAGGAGCUUGCUCCUGUGGAAAGUGGCGGACGGGUGAGUAACACGUAGGAAAUCUGCCUUUGGGUGGGGGACAACAGUUGGAAACGACUGCUAAUACCCCAUAUGAGCUUGGUUGCAAUACCAAUCUUGAAAACUCCGGUGCCUAAAGAUGAGCCUGCGUCUGAUUAGCUUGUUGGCGGGGUAAUGGCCCACCAAGGCGACGAUCAGUAGCUGGUUUGAGAGGAUGAUCAGCCACAAUGGGACUGAGACACGGCCCAUACUCCUACGGGAGGCAGCAGUAGGGAAUUUUGCGCAAUGGGGGAAACCCUGACGCAGCAACGCCGCGUGAAUGACGAAGCCCUUCGGGGUGUGAAGUUCUGUCAGUAGGGAAGAAUUUUGACUGUACCUACAAAGGAAGCACCGGCUAACUCCGUGCCAGCCGCCGCCGUAA